GAUGAACGCUCGCUACAGGCUUAACACAUGCAAGUCGCGGGGCAGCAUGGGGGUUGCUUGCCAUCCCCGAUGGCGACCGGCGCACGGGUGAGUAACGCGUAUCCAACCUGCCCUUCACCACGGGAUAACCCGGCGAAAGUCGGACUAAUACCGUAUGUUGUCCAUUGACGGCCUCCGAUUUGGACGAAAGGUUUGGCGGUGAAGGAUGGGGAUGCGUCCGAUUAGCUGGACGGCGGGGUGACGGCCCACCGUGGCGACGAUCGGUAGGGGUUCUGAGAGGAAGGUCCCCCACACUGGAACUGAGACACGGCCCAGACUCCUACGGGAGGCAGCAGUGAGGAAUAUUGGUCAAUGGGCGUAAGCCUGAACCAGCCAAGUAGCGUGCAGGAUGACGGCCCUAUGGGUGGUAAACUGCUUUUAUGCGGGGAUAAAGUGGCCCACGUGUGGGUUUUUGCAGGUACCGCAUGAAUAAGGACCGGCUAAUUCCGUG
RNAcentral lists this ribosomal RNA (490 nucleotides) under uncultured bacterium. RNAcentral describes it as "partial 16S ribosomal RNA". It matches the Rfam family "Bacterial small subunit ribosomal RNA", at positions 28 to 507 of the family's 1533-position model. The record is from RNAcentral.